GAAGAUCGGGGGAAGGACUUCUAUAUGGGGAGGCGGAGGAGAGGAGAGUGCAGGCGGAGGUGAGGAGGUUGGCGGUGGAGGGGAGAAGAUUGGUGGUGGUGGUGAGUGCACAGGUGGAGGUGGUGGUGAUGAGUGCAUAGGUGGAGGCGGUGGCGGAGGUGAGUGCACAGGUGGAGGCGGCGGCGGGGGUGAGUGCGUAGGUGGAGGUGGUGGUGAGUGCACAGGCGGAGGUGGUGGUGAGUGCACAGGUGGAGGUGGUGGUGGUGAGUGCGUGGGAGAAGGUGGUGGCGGUGAGUGCGCAGGUGGAGGUGGUGAGUGUACAGGUGGAGAUGGUGGUGGCGGUGGUGAUUGCGUGGGUGGUGGAGGUGAGUAGACAGGUGGCGGUGGAGGAGGUGAUGCCACCGGUGGCGGUGGUGAAUAGACUGGCGCAGGAGGAGGUGGGGAGUAGGUUACUGGAGAGGGUGGCGGCGGUGAGCGAGUCGAAGGAGGUGGUGACUUCACCACUGGCGGAGGUGGUGAUUGGACUGUAGGUGGCGGGGAGUAAACUGAUGGUGGCGGUGGUGGUGAGCUUAUUGGUUUCUGUGGUGGCGAGAAGUGUUCGGGAUAAACUGGCCCUCUAUCGCCUUUUGGUGGAGGGGGUAAGAACGUCAGUGGAGGUGGCGGUGGAGGUGAGCUUAUUGGUUUCGGUGGUGGUGAGAAGUGUUCGGGAUAAACCGGCCCUCUAUCGCCUUUUGGUGGAGGGGGUAGGAACGACAGUGGAGGUGGCGGUGGUGAAU
This 776-nucleotide long non-coding RNA is filed under the name Ananas comosus (pineapple). RNAcentral's name for it is "long non-coding RNA (ACOM_LNC021474)". Lineage: Eukaryota; Viridiplantae; Streptophyta; Magnoliopsida; Poales; Bromeliaceae. The record is from RNAcentral.